Chloebia gouldiae (Gouldian finch) is the source of this 1658-nucleotide long non-coding RNA. NCBI's taxonomy places the organism in Eukaryota, Metazoa, Chordata, Aves, Passeriformes, Passeridae. The record is from Ensembl.
GGGGGAUAUGAACUGGCAUUUUAACAAAUAUCAAAUUAAAGAAAAGCACACCACCGCAGCUCGCGUCAGGGAGAAGCCGCCGGUACUUAUUAAAGAUCCUGAGACCUAGUGGCAGGAGGGACCCUACGACUUGUUCACCUGGGGACGGGGAUACGCUUGCGUGUCCACGCCCUCAGGCCUGAGAUGGGUCCCUUCGAAAUUCGUCAAGCUGUACGUCCCGCGAUCCCAGUCCAAAACAUCGGUUGGUCCUCAGGUGGCGCAUGCCAAGUGGUGGCAAAAGCGCAGGUCCUCCUACAGUUCCCUUACCCAAUCCUUCUCUGAUCCAUCCCUCUCCCCCUUUCCCGAGACCGAAGUGGCCAGUCCCUUUAACCUUGACCUCCCCCUGGACCUUUUAUUUACUGAAGAUUAAUCCCUCUCUCAGUUGUUUUUCAGUUACCCUGCAGUCCAGCCAUCCCAACAUGAAACAUCACUUAAUCCCCAUCCUUCUCGUCAUCCUGUCGACCAUCAGACCCCAAGUCGCCUGGGUCGUGCCUCAGCCGCCGGCCAACGUGUGGACCACGUUGGCCAAGUCUUCAGAUCAAGAUCAAUUAUGUUUAUCUACCACCUCUGCAGCCAACCCUUUCCUUUCCUGCCUCGUGGGGAUCCCAUAUCCAUUAGGUAACCUCCCUUUCACCUUCCCCGUGAACUUCUCCUUACCCCGAAACCGGACCGGGAUUUUCAGUGUCCAGAUUUUAAAGAAAUCGGACACUUGGAGAUCCUGGGUCCGUCAAUUUGCAAUCACUGAAAACGAACCACAAGAAUUACAGCUCCUUGGUUCCUCCCUUGCCUAUACCUAUGUUCAUUUCGUAGUAUCCACAUCCAAUCCCUUUGCCCAGCCCUAUGAAGAGGUAAAACAAUCAAUCAAAGAAUAUGCAGCUAAGCAAUGGUGCACCAAGCUAAUCCAAAUCCCCGGUUUCCCCACCCCCGAUGAUCAACCCCAGCAACUUCCUAAGGGCACCUUUCUGAUUUGUGGUAAUAGGGCUUGGGCAGGCAUCCCCUCUCGCCUAAUAGGAGGGCCAUGUACUUUCAGGCAGUUGAGCCUUUUCGCACCUAACAAAACUCAAAUUGCUCAUUGGCAAGACCAAAAUCGGACAGGUCAAUUGGUACGUACCAAAAUAGACACAUCAUUUGCUGAUUUGGAUUCAAAUUGUGAUGAUGAAGUUGUUCAUUGGGCUAAACCAAAAGGCAUGGCUACUAUUGCCUUUUUACCCUGGGUAGCCAUCGCCCAUGACUUCAGGGAAUUGGCCAGCCUGGAGUGUUGGGUGUCUAAAAGAGCAAACUUUACAUCAUCUGCCAUCGCCGACCUCCUGUCAGACGAGAAAAUAACGAGGCAGGCUACCCUACAGAACCGUGCAGCAAUUGAUUUUCUGUUACUUUUACAUAAUCAUAAAUGUGAAGAAUUUGCCGGUUUGUGUUGUAUGAAUUUGAGUUCGAAGGCUGAGAACGUCCGGACGACCUUAGAUAAGAUGCAGGACAUGAUGCGCCACCUGAAAAGACAAACAUCAGAUUGGUUGGGGUCGAUAUUUGAAGGAUGGGGACUGGAUGGCUGGGUCCAAUCAAUUGUUAAAACUGGAAUUUAUGUUGUUUUAGCCCUUGUUGUGUUUAUCAUUGGUUUUAGU